Molecule: ribosomal RNA, 1045 nt
Filed under: Xancithrix ohmani
Lineage: Eukaryota; Metazoa; Arthropoda; Copepoda; Calanoida; Diaixidae
Description: SSU rRNA
Rfam family: Eukaryotic small subunit ribosomal RNA
Source: RNAcentral
AGUCAUAUGCUUGUCUCAAAGAUUAAGCCAUGCAUGUCUAAGUACAAGCCUCACUAAGGUGAAACCGCGAAUGGCUCAUUAAAUCACACCUAAUCUACUGGAUAGUUAACAGUUACUUGGAUAACUGCGGUAAUUCUGGAGCUAAUACAUGCACAAAGCCCCGAACUUACGUGAGGGGCGCUUUUAUUAGAUCAAAACCAAACGGCUUCGGCUGUUCUCUUGGUGACUCUGAAUAACUUUGGGCUGAUCGCAUAGCCUAGCGCUGGCGACAUAUCCUUCGAAGGUGUGCCCUAUCAACUGUCGACUGUGGCAUAGACGCCCACAGUGGUUUUGACGGGUAACGGGGAAUCAGGGUUCGAUUCCGGAGAGGGAGCCUUAAAAACAGCUACCACAUCUAAGGAAGGCAGCAGGCACGCAAAUUACCCAAUGACCGAAGGUCGAGGUAGUGACGAAAAAUAACGAUACAGGACUCAUCUGAGGCCCUGUAAUCGGAAUGAGUACACUUUAAAACCGUCCCCGAGGAUCUAUUGGAGGGCAAGUCUGGUGCCAGCAGCCGCGGUAAUUCCAGCUCCAAUAGCGUAUAUUAAAGUUGUUGUGGUUAAAAAGCUCGUAGUUGGAUCUCGGCGGUCUGAGGGCGGUUCACUUGCUAGUGCUACUGCCCUAUAGACCGUAGUUUUGCCAGAGGUCUCAGGGUGCUCUUAACCGAGUGUCUUGUGAUGCUGGCAGGUUUACUUUGAAAAAAUUAGAGUGCUCAAAGCAGGCUUUUACGCCUGAAUAUUCGUGCAUGGAAUAAUAGAAUAGGAAGUCGUUUCUAUUUUGUUGGUUUUCGGAAAUCGACUUAAUGAUUAAUAGGGACAGUCGGGGGCAUUUGUAUUCAAACGACAGAGGUGAAAUUCUUGGACCGUUUGAAGACAAACUACUGCGAAAGCAUUUGCCAAGAAUGUUUUCAUUAAUCAAGAACGAAAGUUAGAGGUUCGAAGGCGAUUAGAUACCGCCCUAGUUCUAACCAUAAACGAUGCCAGCUAGCGAUCUGCCGACGUUUUUU